Molecule: ribosomal RNA, 650 nt
Filed under: uncultured bacterium
Lineage: Bacteria
Description: bacterial SSU rRNA
Rfam family: Bacterial small subunit ribosomal RNA
Source: RNAcentral
ACAUGCAAGUCGAACGAGAUUGUUUAAUUUGACGCUUCGGUUGAUUUUUAAACAUGAGAGUGGCAAACGGGUGCGUAACACGUGAACAACCUACCGUAAAGUUUGGGAUAGCUCGAGGAAACUCGAAUUAAUACCGGAUGUGGUUAAGAAACUCAUGUUUCUGAUACUAAAGCUUGUAAUGGCGCUUUAUGAGGGGUUCGCGGCCUAUCAGCUUGUUGGUGAGGUAACGGCUCACCAAGGCAACGAUGGGUAGGGGGCCUGAGAGGGUGACCCCCCACACUGGUACUGAGACACGGACCAGACUCCUACGGGAGGCAGCAGUGAGGAAUAUUGGGCAAUGGAGGCAACUCUGACCCAGCCAUGCCGCGUGAAGGAUGACUGCCCUAUGGGUUGUAAACUUCUUUUAUAUGGGAAGAAACUUAUCCACGUGUAGAUAACUGACGGUACCAUACGAAUAAGGAUCGGCUAACUCCGUGCCAGCAGCCGCGGUAAUACGGAGGAUCCAAGCGUUAUCCGGAUUCAUUGGGUUUAAAGGGUCCGUAGGCGGGUCUUUAAGUCAGUGGUGAAAGCCGACAGCUCAACUGUCGAACUGCCAUUGAUACUGGAGACCUUGAGUACAAAUGAAGUAGGCGGAAUGAGUCAUGUAGCGG